AUUGGGUGGUCCACAUAAUGACACUAAGGACAGCAAGACAGCAUCUAGGUGCCCCAACACAAACGUGUUGGAUGAUAUCUGGAUCAGAUGCAUUGAUAAAUGCCACUCCAACACUUUGAAGCAAUUGCUUCAUACUUGUGGAACACUUCUGUCGAUCUCUGAAGUUGAAGGUGGUUUUGUUGCUCAUAUUGCCUUUCGUGAUAGCAAGGUUAAAUUGAGAGCAGAGAGGUUUCUUAGCAGUAUCACGA
Molecule: unclassified non-coding RNA, 248 nt
Filed under: Hevea brasiliensis (rubber tree)
Lineage: Eukaryota; Viridiplantae; Streptophyta; Magnoliopsida; Malpighiales; Euphorbiaceae
Source: RNAcentral